RNAcentral lists this unclassified non-coding RNA (1067 nucleotides) under Penicillium pancosmium. RNAcentral's name for it is "sequence contains ITS1, 5.8S rRNA gene, ITS2, 28S rRNA gene". The stretch from base 177 to 512 matches the Rfam family "Eukaryotic large subunit ribosomal RNA", at positions 24 to 358 of the family's 3401-position model. The record is from RNAcentral. Lineage: Eukaryota; Fungi; Ascomycota; Eurotiomycetes; Eurotiales; Aspergillaceae.
AUAAGACGCCCCAAGAGGCGUUUCAUUCCAGGGGCCUUUGACAAGCCGCCCAAACCGAACGUUGGCCGUUCUGCGGGGAAGUACACCGGCCUCAAAGGCCGGUUGAACCCCCCGAGGGAGUCUGAUUGCAAGCGCUUUCCUUUCUACCAAUUUUAACCGCUGUUCAAGUAUGUUUUCAAAGUGAAUUUAUGCAUAUCAAUAAGCGGAGGAAAAGAAACCAACUGGGAUUGCCCUAGUAACGUCGAGUGAAGCGGCAAGAGCUCAAAUGUGAAAGCUGGCUCCUUCGGGGUCCGCAUUGUAAUUUGCAGAGGAUGCUUCGGGAGCGGUCCCCAUCUAAGUGCCCUGGAACGGGCCGUCAUAGAGGGUGAGAAUCCCGUAUGGGAUGGGGUGCCCGCGCCCGUGUGAAGCUCCUUCGACGAGUCGAGUUGUUUGGGAAUGCAGCUCUAAUUGGGUGGUAAAUUUCAUCUAAAGCUAAAUAGCGGCCGGAGACCGAUAGCGCUGGAAGUAAAAGUCGUAACAAGGUUUCCGUAGGUGAACCUGCGGAAGGAUCAUUACUGAGUGAGGGCCCCUCGGGGUCCAACCUCCCACCCGUGUUUAACGUACCUUGUUGCUUCGGCGGGCCCGCCUCACGGCCGCCGGGGGGCAUCCGCCCCCGGGCCCGCGCCCGCCGAAGCCACCUGUGAACGCUGUCUGAAGUAUGCAGUCUGAGACAAUUAUUAAAUUAAUUAAAACUUUCAACAACGGAUCUCUUGGUUCCGGCAUCGAUGAAGAACGCAGCGAAAUGCGAUAACUAAUGUGAAUUGCAGAAUUCAGUGAAUCAUCGAGUCUUUGAACGCACAUUGCGCCCUCUGGUAUUCCGGAGGGCAUGCCUGUCCGAGCGUCAUUGCUGCCCUCCAGCCCGGCUGGUGUGUUGGGCCCCGCCCCCCUUCCCGGGGGGGGCGGGCCCGAAAGGCAGCGGCGGCACCGCGUCCGGUCCUCGAGCGUAUGGGGCUUUGUCACCCGCUCUUGCAGGCCCGGCCGGCGCCAGCCGACCCCCUCAAUCUAUUUUUUCAGGUGACCUCGGAUCA